GUGCUGGCUUUGGCUGCACAUAUACUAAAACUGGAAUGAUACAGACAAGAUCAGCAUGGCCCUUGUAUAAGGACGACAAGCAAAUUUGUGAAGCGUUCCAUUUUUUU
This is a small nuclear RNA of Dipodomys spectabilis (banner-tailed kangaroo rat), 107 nucleotides long. The record is from RefSeq and is a predicted model, not a curated record. NCBI's taxonomy places the organism in Eukaryota, Metazoa, Chordata, Mammalia, Rodentia, Heteromyidae.